AUACGAAGGUCCCAAGCGUUAUUCGGAAUCACAGGGCGUAAAGAGUACGUAGGCGGUUUGGUAAGUCAGGUGUGAAAUCCCGGAGCUCAACUCCGGAACUGCAUCCGAUACUGCCAGACUUGAGUAAUGGAGAGGCAGGUGGAAUUCUCGGUGUAGCAGUGAAAUGCGUGGAUAUCGAGAGGAAGACCAAUGGCGAAGGCAGCCUGCUGGACAUUUACUGACGCUGAGGUACGAAGGCUAGGGGAGCGAAAGGGAUUAGAAACCCCAGUAGUCC
Molecule: ribosomal RNA, 274 nt
Filed under: uncultured bacterium
Lineage: Bacteria
Description: partial 16S ribosomal RNA
Rfam family: Bacterial small subunit ribosomal RNA
Source: RNAcentral